GCUGCGGUUUUUACUGAACAAAAACACGAUAACGUUCACAUUUAUCAACCGAUUUCAGAGUUCCACGACGGCUCUUUGAGGUCCAGAGACCCUCUUCAGGUCAAACUCCUCUCUGCUGAUCUGUCUGCAGAACAAGUGAGGUGGAGACGCCAUGGACGUGUCUGUGUUUGUCAUCUUGAAGAAACCAUAACAUGCGAGGAGAUCAGAAUGUGGGCUUGGUGGCCAACAGCUCGUCCAAGUCCACCUCAUCCGCAGAUCCCAGAAUGCACCGCGGGAAGGUCUGGACCAUCUGCACAGGGAGCGAAGGCACCCACAAGAGACAGACCGUGUCAAAGCUGCUCAUCAAAUCUACCGAAAGCUGAGCUGAAUUCUAAAUUAACCAAACCAUUUAAGGACUAUCAGUUAUUUAUAUAUUUGCCAAAUGUUUAACAUGUAUAGAGAAUAUCUGUCUGAGGAGGUGAGUGAAUUACCAGGGUACGAGCUCCUAUGGUGUCAUUCAGAGGCGGGAGAGAGGGGUUUGCACACACUUUAGCCAUCAGAUUAUUUUUCACAUAUUUUUUUUAAUUAUUAGGUAUAAUAA
Long non-coding RNA from Carassius auratus (goldfish), 580 nucleotides. RefSeq lists it as uncharacterized. Lineage: Eukaryota; Metazoa; Chordata; Actinopteri; Cypriniformes; Cyprinidae. The record is from RefSeq and is a predicted model, not a curated record. The transcript has 3 exons.